GACGUAGGAGGCGAGCGUUGUCCGGAUUCAUUGGGCGUAAAGAGCACGCAGGCGGUUUGGCAAGUCGGAUGUGAAAACCCGGAGCUCAACUCCGGACCUGCAUCCGAAACUGCCCGACUAGAGGUAGGUAGGGGAGAUCGGAAUUCCUGGUGUAGCGGUGAAAUGCGCAGAUAUCAGGAGGAACACCGGUGGCGAAGGCGGAUCUCUGGGCCUUACCUGACGCUCAGGUGCGAAAGCGUGGGGAGCGAACAGG
RNAcentral lists this ribosomal RNA (253 nucleotides) under uncultured bacterium. RNAcentral's name for it is "partial 16S ribosomal RNA". It matches the Rfam family "Bacterial small subunit ribosomal RNA", at positions 524 to 776 of the family's 1533-position model. The record is from RNAcentral.